UCCUGUCUACGGUGGCUGCAGAGGACCAAACAGUUCGGGAGCGCGUAUGAUCAGUUUCUCUUUGCAGGUAUUUCGGCAUACCCGCAUUAAUAAGGAUUGGUGUGCCCCGAGAAGUGGUCCUGACCGAGGCCGACAUGUGCCUCCUUAAUCAUUUAUGAGAGUUAAUGCAGAGAGUGAGCGCGAGCAGCAAAAGCUGCUCCCCCAGGAGACCUGCGGGCACAAGGAAAUUACAAAUCAGCCGCACUAUAAACCAUGCUGCCAGCAGGGACGAGCGGUGGACUGCACCGGCGUGCUGCCUGCCUGCCUGCUUCCUCUUGUGCACGUAUUAGAGAAACGCUGAUAAACCUUGAAAGUCUGAACCUCCUGUUUGUGCGCUAACAAGCCCACAGCAGGCUUCCCAGCAUCUUUUGUGCUAAAUUACAAAAGCCUGGAGCUAUUGAGGACGUCGUGAUCACAGCUGUGGGUGCUGCCAAACAACAAAUCCCACAUUACUCUUGACCUUCAGCGUCCAAAUGGAACUCAUCUCAGAAACCCUUAAAAGAUCUUUAAAAUUACACCGAAUAAAACGGACAGACAAGGACAGAGAGUGUAAAACACUCUAGUAUCAGUCAUCACUCCCUGACCUUAGCCUGAGUCUGUCUGGGGCUGUCUGAACACAGCCUGACAGAAAAGCACUCUCGCCCUGGCUCAGCAAUGUCCCCAUGACUUUGCAGAACCCUUCCAGACUUCAGGAUCAUCUAUUUUAUGGAUGACAGAGAAGUGCAUGGAGAGCAAGAGAGAGGAAGCUUCCAAAUCAAGUAUGUCUCUGUGGGAGAGUUUAAUGCCUGAAAAACACCCAAUGGUGCAGGAAAGCCACGGGGCGUCCCUAGAGACCGUUUAACCUGCAGUGUGUGUAGAAGGAAGUUGUCAACAUACCUAUGAGAACAAAAUAAAGUGUUUCACAAAUUCAUCACAUCACCUGUCAUAAAGGUGUUUAAAACUAAUAUAUAUCUAUAUGUUUGUUUAUUUGUAAGGCAAAUAACA
Molecule: long non-coding RNA, 1023 nt
Organism: Oreochromis niloticus (Nile tilapia)
Lineage: Eukaryota; Metazoa; Chordata; Actinopteri; Cichliformes; Cichlidae
Exons: 5
Source: RefSeq, a predicted model, not a curated record